This is a long non-coding RNA of Centruroides sculpturatus (bark scorpion), 201 nucleotides long. RefSeq lists it as uncharacterized. The record is from RefSeq and is a predicted model, not a curated record. The transcript has 2 exons. Lineage: Eukaryota; Metazoa; Arthropoda; Arachnida; Scorpiones; Buthidae.
GGUAAUUAAUUGGAAAAUCGAUCGAGUUUCGACUAUAUUAAAAAUUAAAUGCGAUAUUUCGCUUCCUGACGCGGAAUAAUUAAAAAUAAUUCAAAUAAAAUGAAUAUUCUACGUAACGGAACCAAAUCGCUUUUUGACGUCACACAACGUCGCCCCCCGCGUUUUGUAAAGUAUGCUGAUGACUGAAGAACAAAUAUAAUA